CGCAGGUUAUUCCUAAUGUAACCUCAUCGGUC
RNAcentral lists this non-coding RNA (32 nucleotides) under Homo sapiens (human). Lineage: Eukaryota; Metazoa; Chordata; Mammalia; Primates; Hominidae. The record is from RNAcentral.